CCCUGACAGUGACAUCAAGUUACUGACAAUAGCCAAGACAGGAGAUCCAUAUG
RNAcentral lists this non-coding RNA (53 nucleotides) under unclassified sequences. Its description in RNAcentral is "Mu-gpT-DE RNA". It matches the Rfam family "Mu-gpT-DE RNA". The record is from Rfam by way of RNAcentral.